AAGUCGUAACAAGGUCUCCGUAGGUGAACCUGCGGAGGGAUCAUUACACAAUACAAUAUGAAGGCCCGUAACACGGCUGGAUUAUUUUAUUACCCUUGUCUUUUGCGCACUUGUUGUUUCCUGGGCGGGUUUCGCCCGCCACCAGGACCACACCAUAAACCUUUUUUAUGCAGUUGCAAUCAGCGUCAGUACAACAAAUGUAAAUCAUUUACAACUUUCAACAACGGAUCUCUUGGUUCUG
This 241-nucleotide unclassified non-coding RNA is filed under the name Curvularia inaequalis. RNAcentral describes it as "partial internal transcribed spacer region". The stretch from base 1 to 46 matches the Rfam family "Eukaryotic small subunit ribosomal RNA", at positions 1786 to 1831 of the family's 1831-position model. Lineage: Eukaryota; Fungi; Ascomycota; Dothideomycetes; Pleosporales; Pleosporaceae. RNAcentral also lists the same sequence under 1 other name. The record is from RNAcentral.